This 615-nucleotide ribosomal RNA is filed under the name Parmotrema sp. Its description in RNAcentral is "partial large subunit ribosomal RNA". It matches the Rfam family "Eukaryotic large subunit ribosomal RNA", at positions 121 to 748 of the family's 3401-position model. The record is from RNAcentral. Lineage: Eukaryota; Fungi; Ascomycota; Lecanoromycetes; Lecanorales; Parmeliaceae.
UCUGGCUCCUUUCGGGGUCCGAGUUGUAAUUUGUAGAGAGUGUUUCGGGGAAGACCACGGUCUAAGUCCAUUGGAACAUGGUGUCAUAGAGGGUGAGAAUCCCGUCUGUGACCGCGGAUCGACCCCAUGUGAAACCUCUUCGACGAGUCGAGUUGUUUGGGAAUGCAGCUCAAAAUGGGUGGUAAAUUUCAUCUAAAGCUAAAUAUUGGCUGGAGACCGAUAGCGCACAAGUAGAGUGAUCGAAAGAUGAAAAGCACUUUGGAAAGAGAGUUAAACAGUACGUGAAAUUGUUGAAAGGGAAGCGCUUGCAACCAGACCUGCCCGUAGGCGAUCAGCCGCUGUUCUCAGCGGUGCACUCGCUCUGCGAUCAGGCCAGCAUCGGUUUCGGCGGUCGGAUAAAGGCCUUGGGAAUGUAGCUUUCCUUCGGGGGAGUCUUAUAGCCCUAGGUGCAAUGCGGCCAGCCGGGACCGAGGACCGCGCUUCGGCUAGGAUGCUGGCGUAAUGGUUGUCAGCGACCCGUCUUGAAACACGGACCAAGGAGUCUAACAUCUAUGCGAGUGUUUGGGUGUUAAACCCAUGCGCGGAAUGAAAGUGAACGGAGGUGAGAACCCUUUA